CGCGAUCUUAUCUGCACCGACUCCGGGUUUUUUUUUCUCCCUCUGUAUGUAUACAGUGCAGUUAUCAACCGACGACAGCGCAAAAUUUCCGUCCUGCCCUGCGCACGCACAUUAAACGCGAGAAUACGGGAUAUCGGAGAUUUCGGGCAAAUCCCUGUAUUUCCCUCGUACCUGUGGAUUUAACGCGUAAACAGCAUAUUGUGUUUUUAUCCCCUGCGAACUUUUACCCCGACCGUUUAAUGUCACAUAACGACCGUCCAGUCUACACAAUGUCGGCGGCGCGAUAAUUAUUUAUACUUCGUUUAUUACCGCGAUCGUCGGUCGAGAAACCCAGUUUUUACGGUACGGUUUUAUUUUCCUCUUUACAUUUAGAACGCCGUCGCACGAUAUUAUAUACCUAACGCGAAAGUCUGCA
Cinara cedri is the source of this 415-nucleotide non-coding RNA. Lineage: Eukaryota; Metazoa; Arthropoda; Insecta; Hemiptera; Aphididae. The record is from the annotation of a GenBank genome assembly.